This 460-nucleotide ribosomal RNA is filed under the name uncultured bacterium. Its description in RNAcentral is "partial 16S ribosomal RNA". It matches the Rfam family "Bacterial small subunit ribosomal RNA", at positions 338 to 795 of the family's 1533-position model. The record is from RNAcentral.
CCUACGGGUGGCAGCAGUGAGGAAUAUUGGUCAAUGGAGGCAACUCUGAACCAGCCAAGCCGCGUGCAGGAUGACGGCCCUAUGGGUUGUAAACCGCUUUUAUGCGGGGACAAACCGCGGCACGUGUGCCUUACUGCAUGUAUCCCAUGAAUAAGCAUCGGCUAAUUCCGUGCCAGCAGCCGCGGUAAUACGGAAGGUGCGGGCGUUAUCCGGAUUUAUUGGGUUUAAAGGGGGCGUAGGCCGUCCCUUAAGUGCGGUGUGAAAUGCCGCGGCUCAACCCUGGCCCUGCAGCGGGAACUGGGGGGCUAGAGUGGGCGGGAGGUAGGCGGAAUGCGUGGUGUAGCGGUGAAAUGCAUAGAUAUCACGAAGAACUCUGAUUGCGAAGGCAGCAUACCGUAGCGUAACUGACGCUGAGGCACGAAGGCGCGGGUAUCGAACAGGAUUAGAUACCCCUGUAGUC